This 507-nucleotide ribosomal RNA is filed under the name uncultured bacterium. RNAcentral's name for it is "bacterial SSU rRNA". It matches the Rfam family "Bacterial small subunit ribosomal RNA", at positions 29 to 518 of the family's 1533-position model. The record is from RNAcentral.
AUGAACGCUGGCGGCGUGCUUAAUACAUGCAAGUCAACGGAUGAGUUUCUAGCUUGCUAGAAGAUGAUCAGUGGCGAACGGGUGAGUAAUACGUAGGCAACCUGCCCCAAAGCGGGGGAUAGCAGUUGGAAACGACUAUUAAUACCGCAUAGGUAAUCUUAAGGCAUCUUGAGAUUAUUAAAGGUGCGUUUGCACCGCUGUGGGAUGGGCUUACGCUGUAUUAGCUAGUUGGUGAGGUAACGGCCCACCAAGGCGAUGAUACAUAGCCGGCCUGAGAGGGUGAACGGCCACAUUGGGACUGAGACACGGCCCAGACUCCUACGGGAGGCAGCAGUAAGGAAUUUUCGGCAAUGGACGAAAGUCUGACCGAGCAACGCCGCGUGAGUGAUGAAAAGGUCUUCGGAUCGUAAAGCUCUGUGGUAAAGGAAGAAUACCAUGGACAGGAAAUGGUUCAUGGCUGACGGUACUUUACUAGAAAGUCACGGCUUACUACGUGCCAGCAGCCGC